AUUAUAGUGAAAAAUAGUGCAUCAUAGAUAAUAAAAUUAGUUAAUUAAAUAAGUCUCAAAAAAGGUGUGUAAUAAUGGCAAUAAUUUAUCUUUAAUAUUAAAGUUUUGUGUAUGGCAAUUUUCCUUUUUUUUCUUCUCUCUUGGACGGCCAUUGCGUUAACAUAUAAAAAAUUGUGUGCAUUAAUUUAGAGUCAAAAUAAUAAAAUAAAGUUAUUGAGAAAAUUAAAGUAUGUUUCAUUAACAA
Molecule: unclassified non-coding RNA, 244 nt
Filed under: Melitaea cinxia (Glanville fritillary)
Lineage: Eukaryota; Metazoa; Arthropoda; Insecta; Lepidoptera; Nymphalidae
Description: misc RNA ENSMCXG00005005247.1
Source: RNAcentral